This 336-nucleotide ribosomal RNA is filed under the name Physocyclus enaulus. RNAcentral describes it as "SSU rRNA". Lineage: Eukaryota; Metazoa; Arthropoda; Arachnida; Araneae; Pholcidae. The record is from RNAcentral.
UUAGAUGUCCGGGGCCGCACGCGCGCUACACUGAAGGAAUCAGCGUGUGCUCUCCCYGYCUGGCAAGRCYGGGUAACCCGCCGAACCUCCUUCGUGAUAGGGAUAGGGGCUUGUAACUGUUCCCCUCGAACGAGGAAUUCCCAGUAAGCGCGAGUCAUAAGCUCGUGUUGAUUACGUCCCUGCCCUUUGUACACACCGCCCGUCGCUACUAYCGAUUGAAUGAUUUAGUGAGGUCUUCGGACUGGCGCUCGGAGCGGCCUCCGGGCCGGGCCGACGYGCCGGAAAGAUGACCGAACUUGAUCAUUUAGAGAAAGUAAAAGUCGUAACAAGGUUUCC